ACUUCUUGACCGAGCAGAAAGUGUAAUGUAAGUUUUUCAGUGUUUUUAAUCUAUCUAUGUCGUGUGUCUCCUGUUUUAAUUCAUAUUAUAAAACUUUAAAGUGUUUUCUGUUAUGUGCUAUGAAUGUAAGUAGGCUAUAUACUUAUAGUAUGUAUAGUCUAUCCAAUGUAAAUAGUUUAUUGAGGCCCAGUUCACUUCUAAUUUAUUCAAAGUCCAAACUAUUAUCAUUGAUGAUUAACUUCACUUUAUCUCCAAAAUGGAUAUAUAUUGAAAGAUUAAAUAUGUUUAUUUUUUCAGGUACCAUUUACAAAAAAAAAUAUUGAAGAGAAUGUGCUCAAAAGGAAAUGCAUAUGAAUUCUUUUUUGUUGACCAGGAUGGAAAAAUUCUUUGGAACCCAUAGUUAGGAUAAGUUAGUUAGGCCUAGAGGUGUACCAGCCAGAAGUAGAGGAUGACAAAGAAAAUCAACUAUGGAUAAUAUUCCAUGGAUAUGAUUCAUGUAUGAUGUAGUAGCCUAUAGGAGAAAGAGAUGAACUAAUCUAAGAAAUAUAUUCAUUUUUUCAGUACAUCUUGAUGUGUUUAUUUCAUGUUAUUCAUAA
Molecule: long non-coding RNA, 596 nt
Organism: Nilaparvata lugens (brown planthopper)
Lineage: Eukaryota; Metazoa; Arthropoda; Insecta; Hemiptera; Delphacidae
Exons: 2
Source: RefSeq, a predicted model, not a curated record